This 311-nucleotide long non-coding RNA is filed under the name Olea europaea subsp. europaea. The record is from RNAcentral. Lineage: Eukaryota; Viridiplantae; Streptophyta; Magnoliopsida; Lamiales; Oleaceae.
UUCCCAGUCCAAUAUUUACCCAAACUUCCACCGAUUCUACCAAGAACUACAAAAAUUUCUAUUGCUCCUUUAUUAGAAUCACUCGACUCCUUCAUGGAUGUUGUAGACCCACCCAUACCAGCUAGUGUCGAAAGAUCAGCCACAUCAGUAGAAUUGCUUCCUUCCUUCUAAUUGAAGAUGCAAAUCCGUCGACCAGAAGAACAACACGAACUCGUCGACAAGAAAUUGGUAGACACAAAAUCUCACGCGAAGAUGUCGACCAAAAAUUAAUUGACCCAAAAUCUCAAAUCAAAGUAGUUGACCAGAAAUUG